UUGGUUAAGUUAGAAAGGGCGCACGGUGGAUGCCUUGGCACUAGGAGCCGAAGAAGGACGGGACUAACACCGAUAUGCUUUGGGGAGCUGUACGUAAGCGUUGAUCCAGAGAUUUCCGAAUGGGGGAACCCACUAUCUUUAGUCGGAUAGUAUCCUUACGUGAAUACAUAGCGUGAGGAAGGCAGACCCAGGGAACUGAAACAUCUAAGUACCUGGAGGAAGAGAAAGAAAAAUCGAUUUCCUGAGUAGCGGCGAGCGAAACGGAAAGAGCCCAAACCAAGAAGCUUGCUUCUUGGGGUUGUAGGACACUCUAUACGGAGUUACAAAAGAAAGUUAUAAAUGAAGCGGUCUGGAAAGGCCCGCCAAAGACGGUAACAGCCCGGUAGUUGAAAUGGCUUUCCCUCCAGAGUGGAUCCUGAGUACGGCGGAACACGUGAAAUUCCGUCGGAAUCCGGGAGGACCAUCUCCCAAGGCUAAAUACUCCCUAGUGACCGAUAGUGAACCAGUACCGUGAGGGAAAGGUGAAAAGCACCCCGGAAGGGGAGUGAAACAGUUCCUGAAACCGUGUGCCUACAAGUAGUUAGAGCCCGUUAAUGGGUGAUAGCGUGCCUUUUGUAGAAUGAACCGGCGAGUUACGAUUUGUUGCAAGGUUAAGCGGAAAAAGCGGAGCCGUAGCGAAAGCGAGUCUGAAUAGGGCGCAUAAGUAACAGGUCGUAGACCCGAAACCAGGUGAUCUACCCAUGUCCAGGAUGAAGGUAAGGUAAUACUUACUGGAGGUCCGAACCCACGCACGUUGAAAAGUGCGGGGAUGAGGUGUGGGUAGCGGAGAAAUUCCAAUCGAACUUGGAGAUAGCUGGUUCUCUCCGAAAUAGCUUUAGGGCUAGCCUCGAGGUAAAGAGUCAUGGAGGUAGAGCACUGUUUGGACUAGGGGCCCUUCUCGGGUUACCGAAUUCAGAUAAACUCCGAAUGCCAUGUACUUAUACUCGGGAGUCAGACUGCGAGUGAUAAGAUCCGUAGUCGAAAGGGAAACAGCCCAGACCACCAGUUAAGGUCCCCAAAUAUAUGUUAAGUGGAAAAGGAUGUGGGGUUGCUUAGACAACCAGGAUGUUGGCUUAGAAGCAGCCACCAUUGAAAGAGUGCGUAAUAGCUCACUGGUCGAGUGACCCCGCGCCGAAAAUGUACCGGGGCUAAACAUAUUACCGAAACUGUGGAUGAACCUCUUCGGAGGUUCGUGGUAGGAGAGCGUUCUAAGGGCGGUGAAGUCAGACCGGAAGGACUGGUGGAGCGCUUAGAAGUGAGAAUGCCGGUAUGAGUAGCGAAAGAAGGGUGAGAAUCCCUUCCACCGAAUAUCUAAGGUUUCCUGAGGAAGGCUCGUCCGCUCAGGGUUAGUCGGGACCUAAGCCGAGGCCGAUAGGCGUAGGCGAUGGACAACAGGUAGAGAUUCCUGUACCAGUGCUAAUUGUUUAACCGAUGGGGUGACACAGAAGGAUAGGGAAUCGCACGAAUGGAAAUGUGCGUCCAAGCAGUGAGUGUGAGAAGUAGGCAAAUCCGCUUCUUGCGAAGCAUGAGCUGUGAUGGGGAAGGAAAUUAAGUACGGAAGUUCCUGAUUUCACGCUGUCAAGAAAAGCCUCUAGGAAGAGUAGUACUGCCCGUACCGCAAACCGACACAGGUAGAUGAGGAGAGAAUCCUAAGGUGAGCGAGAGAACUCUCGUUAAGGAACUCGGCAAAAUGACCCCGUAACUUCGGGAGAAGGGGUGCUCUAUUAGGGUGCAAGCCCGAGAGAGCCGCAGUGAAUAGGCCCAGGCGACUGUUUAGCAAAAACACAGGUCUCUGCAAAACCGUAAGGUGACGUAUAGGGGCUGACGCCUGCCCGGUGCUGGAAGGUUAAGAGGAGUGCUUAGCUUCGGCGAAGGUACGAAUUGAAGCCCCAGUAAACGGCGGCCGUAACUAUAACGGUCCUAAGGUAGCGAAAUUCCUUGUCGGGUAAGUUCCGACCCGCACGAAAGGCGCAACGAUCUGGGCACUGUCUCAACGAGAGACUCGGUGAAAUUAUAGUACCUGUGAAGAUGCAGGUUACCCGCGACAGGACGGAAAGACCCCGUGGAGCUUUACUGCAACCUGAUAUGGAAUGUUUGUACCGCUUGUACAGGAUAGGUAGGAGCCGAAGAGACGUGUGCGCUAGCAUACGAGGAGGCAAUGGUGGGAUACUACCCUGGCUGUAUGACCAUUCUAACCCGCCACGCU
This 2245-nucleotide ribosomal RNA is filed under the name Listeria innocua. RNAcentral describes it as "partial 23S ribosomal RNA". It matches the Rfam family "Bacterial large subunit ribosomal RNA", at positions 1 to 2236 of the family's 2925-position model. The record is from RNAcentral. Lineage: Bacteria; Bacillati; Bacillota; Bacilli; Caryophanales; Listeriaceae.